Molecule: ribosomal RNA, 491 nt
Filed under: uncultured bacterium
Lineage: Bacteria
Description: partial 16S ribosomal RNA
Rfam family: Bacterial small subunit ribosomal RNA
Source: RNAcentral
AGUGAACGCUGGCGGUAGGCCUAACACAUGCAAGUCGAACGGCAGCACAGUAAGAGCUUGCUCUUACGGGUGGCGAGUGGCGGACGGGUGAGGAAUACAUCGGAAUCUACUUUUUCGUGGGGGAUAACGUAGGGAAACUUACGCUAAUACCGCAUACGACCUACGGGUUAAAUCAGUGGAUCUUCGGACCUUUCGCGAUUGAAUGAGCCGAUGUCGGAUUAGCUAGUUGGCGGGGUAAGGCCCACCAAGGCGACGACCCGUAUCUGGACUGAGAGGAUGAUCAGCCACACUGGAACUGAGACACGGUCCAGACUCCUAAGGGAGGCAGCAGUGGGGAAUAUUGGACAAUGGGCGCAAGCCUGAUCCAGCCAUACCGCGUGGGUGAAGAAGGGCUUCGGGUUGUAAAGCCCUUUUGUUGGGAAAGAAAAGCAGCAGGUUAAUACCCCGCUGUUCUGACGGUACCCAAAGAAUAAGCACCGGCUAACUUCGUG